UAGGGAAUCUUCCGCAAUGGGCGAAAGCCUGACGGAGCAACGCCGCGUGAGUGAUGAAGGUCUUCGGAUCGUAAAGCUCUGUUAUUAGGGAAGAACAAAUGUGUAAGUAACUAUGCACAUCUUGACGGUACCUAAUCAGAAAGCCACGGCUAACUACGUGCCAGCAGCCGCGGUAAUACGUAGGUGGCAAGCGUUAUCCGGAAUUAUUGGGCGUAAAGCGCGCGUAGGCGGUUUUUUAAGUCUGAUGUGAAAGCCCACGGCUCAACCGUGGAGGGUCAUUGGAAACUGGAAAACUUGAGUGCAGAAGAGGAAAGUGGAAUUCCAUGUGUAGCGGUGAAAUGCGCAGAGAUAUGGAGGAACACCAGUGGCGAAGGCGACUUUCUGGUCUGUAACUGACGCUGAUGUGCGAAAGCGUGGGGAUCAAACAGG
This 429-nucleotide ribosomal RNA is filed under the name Bacteroidota bacterium. RNAcentral's name for it is "Bacteroidetes bacterium partial 16S ribosomal RNA". It matches the Rfam family "Bacterial small subunit ribosomal RNA", at positions 355 to 776 of the family's 1533-position model. Lineage: Bacteria; Pseudomonadati; Bacteroidota. The record is from RNAcentral.